This 164-nucleotide ribosomal RNA is filed under the name Elymus tibeticus. Its description in RNAcentral is "5.8S ribosomal RNA". It matches the Rfam family "5.8S ribosomal RNA". From Rfam's summary of the family: 5.8S ribosomal RNA (5.8S rRNA) is a component of the large subunit of the eukaryotic ribosome. It is transcribed by RNA polymerase I as part of the 45S precursor that also contains 18S and 28S rRNA. Functionally, it is thought that 5.8S rRNA may be involved in ribosome translocation. Lineage: Eukaryota; Viridiplantae; Streptophyta; Magnoliopsida; Poales; Poaceae. The record is from RNAcentral.
CACACGGCUCUCGGCAACGGAUAUCUCGGCUCUCGCAUCGAUGAAGAACGUAGCGAAAUGCGAUACCUGGUGUGAAUUGCAGAAUCCCGCGAACCAUCGAGUCUUUGAACGCAAGAUGCGCCCGAGGCCACUCGGCCGAGGGCACGCCUGCCUGGGCGUCACGC